CUACGGGAUGCUGCAGUGGGGAAUAUUGCACAAUGGGGGAAACCCUGAUGCAGCAACGCCGCGUGGAGGAUGACGCAUUUCGGUGUGUAAACUCCUUUUAUAUAGGAAGAUAAUGACGGUACUAUAUGAAUAAGCACCGGCUAACUCCGUGCCAGCAGCCGCGGUAAUACGGAGGGUGCAAGCGUUACUCGGAAUCACUGGGCGUAAAGCGCGCGCAGGCGGCCCCUUAAGUUGGAUGUGAAAGCCUACGGCUUAACCGUAGAACUGCAGCCAAAACUGAGGGGCUAGAGUCUGGGAGGGGAAGAUGGAAUUAGUUGUGUAGGGGUAAAAUCCGUAGAGAUAACUAGGAAUACCAAAAGCGAAGGCGAUCUUCUGGAACAGUACUGACGCUGAGGCGCGAAAGCGUGGGGAGCAAACAGGAUUAGAUACCCGCGUAGUC
Molecule: ribosomal RNA, 439 nt
Filed under: uncultured bacterium
Lineage: Bacteria
Description: partial 16S ribosomal RNA
Rfam family: Bacterial small subunit ribosomal RNA
Source: RNAcentral